This 253-nucleotide ribosomal RNA is filed under the name uncultured bacterium. RNAcentral's name for it is "partial 16S ribosomal RNA". It matches the Rfam family "Bacterial small subunit ribosomal RNA", at positions 524 to 776 of the family's 1533-position model. The record is from RNAcentral.
UACGUAGGGGGCAAGCGUUGUCCGGAAUCACUGGGCGUAAAGGGCGCGUAGGCGGGUUUCCAAGUCGGGGGUGAAAUUCCAGGGCUCAACCCUGGGACGGCCUUCGAUACUGGGAGCCUGGAGAUCGGGAGAGGUGAGUGGAAUUCCGAGUGUAGAGGUGAAAUUCGUAGAUAUCGGGAGGAACACCAGUGGCGAAGGCGGCGACCUGGGCCAAUAUUGACGCUGAGGCGCGAAAGCGUGGGGAGCAAACAGG